UGAGGAAUAUUGAGCAAUGGGCGCAAGCCUGACUCAGCAACGCCGCGUGGAUGAAGAAGGCCUUCGGGUUGUAAAAUCCUUUUCUGGGGGAAGAUGAUGACGGUACCCCAGGAAUAAGUUCCGGCUAACUACGUGCCAGCAGCCGCGGUAAAACGUAGGGGACGAGCGUUAUCCGGAUUUACUGGGCGUAAAGCGCAUGUAGGUGGCUUGAAAAGUUGGACGUGAAAGCUCCCGGCUUAACUGGGAGAGGUCGUUCAAAACUGGCAAGCUUGAGGUUGGAAGAGGAGAGCGGAAUUCCCGGUGUAGUGGUGGAAUGCGUAGAUAUCGGGAGGAACACCAGUGGCGAAAGCGGCUCUCUGGUUCAAUACUGACACUGAGAUGCGAAAGCGUGGGGAGCGAACGGGAUUAGAUACCCUUGUAG
RNAcentral lists this ribosomal RNA (421 nucleotides) under uncultured bacterium. RNAcentral's name for it is "bacterial SSU rRNA". It matches the Rfam family "Bacterial small subunit ribosomal RNA", at positions 355 to 793 of the family's 1533-position model. The record is from RNAcentral.